Long non-coding RNA from Equus asinus (donkey), 1724 nucleotides. The record is from Ensembl. NCBI's taxonomy places the organism in Eukaryota, Metazoa, Chordata, Mammalia, Perissodactyla, Equidae.
GUCUGUUUCAGCGUUACAUUUCUAGCCCUAGGACCCAGGAGGGUGUGAUCUGUGGGAAAAAAUAACAUGCCUAACAGCUCCAUGUGGAAGUUUGGAUGUUUUCCUGAGAAGAAUAAUUCCUGACUUGGGAGGAAUAGUGAGAAGCAUAAACAACCGCGACUCGUCACAGAGCAAAUGCGAUCUGUCAGAGGCUCAAAGAUCACUCACCACCAACACGUGGCUCUUUCUGCAGGAGCUCUAAGGGAGGCGCAGUCCCACCAGCGUUGGCUCCACCUACGUUAGAGUUGCAGAUGACCCAAAGCUGGGAGACAGAAAAGUGCACAGAAGUGAAAUUUGAAAAGAGCUUGGAAGUUCUGUACUAUUUCCAGAAUGCACCGCCUCUUUACUUGGGCCUCGAUUACGAAAUGUAUGCUGUAAAUACUGAACAUCCUAGGAAAUGACAUCAGACUCUUCUGCAAUCCCUUCCGCACACCACUCUCGGGGAUCCCACGAAGAAUCGAGACUUGCCAGCUGGAGGCGCAGUGCUGGCUGGGGCAGGAGCAGACCCAGGCCUGAUAAAGGACAGGAAUCCUGAGGGCGUGGAUACGAAGAGCAGGCCCGAGUUCCAUCAAGCAUUCAGAAACUGCUGAGGAGGAUGGAGACAGGUGGGGAGACUACACCUCAGAAAGUUGGAAUGACUGGGUUUAAGACACAUUGCUCACUGAGAACAGAAACUGGACUAGAAUCCAGAAUUUCGGAUGUACAGAGACAUGGCAUGACUACCUCAGUUCCACGUCUAUAUUCGUGUACACAGUUAUGUCUGAUGUCGCCGACAAUUAGAAUCUCCAGUUUGGGGAGACAAUGACUCCUAAAGAACACAUACAGGGGUAAUAAUCUAACUGCUGAUUCAGGAAAGGUCUCUCAGUUUUCGUGGGAGUGAAAACACCUGUGGAGAAAGGAAUGCCUACUGCUUUCCAGGGGUAGGAGACUGUGGAAUACAUUUGUUUUCAAAACUUCUGUUUGAAAAAUCUCAACCGGAACCACAACAUGAAACAAGAGAAGAUCUCCCUCAGCAUGUUUGUUCCUGUUUGUUUAAAUGAGCAUAUUCUAAGAUGUUUUGGCUACCUCGUCUGCUUGUUUCCAUGCUGAGGGACAUUCUGUCCUCUGGGAGGAGAAAGGAAAGAACAAACCUUGAGCCUGGGAAAAGUGGAAGUAAUCUCUUUCCCUAAAGCUCAUCUUGCAAAGCCAUAAAUAUGACAUGUUGUUAAUGGAGGAUAAUUAAUUCAUUCCUCAUAAAUAUCAUUCUUAUUUCACCAAUGUGGGUAUUUUCUCCAAUGUUCUCAUUUGCCCCAAAGUACAGACACCUGAUAAGAUGUGGAUCCCCUGACGCAACUAAGUCCUUGCCUCAAGAAAGCAAACAUUUUGAGAUUUACUAGGGCAAUUCACAUUGAAGGCAAAUGAUACAUUUAUCUCAACACUUGCUCCCAUCCCUCUGAAACAUUAAGACAAAUAUUUACCCAAGCCAUCAGGAAAUAUGGCUGUGACCAACACAAAAUUGAUUUUUCACAUACAUAUCAGUCUCAGAAAGGUGAGUUCCAAGAGAGUAGAUUCACAGGCACACUGGGGACUUUGGAAAAAUCUGGAAAGGAAAGCUAUUUUUUCUUAUACAGCAUUCUCGGUUUGAGGGAAGGGGGCUUUCAAACAGCAUAGUGUGUAAUUUUAAAUACAAAGUGAAAAAUCUUAAA